AACGAACGCUGGCGGCAUGCCUAAUACAUGCAAGUCGAACGAGAAGUUCGGGACUAGUGGCGCACGGGUGUGUAACGCGUGGGAACAUGAACUUAGGUUUGGAAUAACUCUAAGAAAGGGGUGCCAAUACCGGACAAUGUCUUAGACCCAAUCAUUUAUUGACCUUGGAUGGGCCAGCGUUGGAUUAGCUAGUUGGUAGGGUAAAAGGCUAACAAGGCGACGAUUAAUAGCUUGUCUGUGAGGAUGAUCAGCAACACUGAGACUGAGACACGGCCCAGACUCCUACGGAAAGCAGCAGUGGGUGAUAGUGGACCGUCGACGAAGUCCUGAUCCAGCAAUGCCGCGUAAGUUAUGAAGUCCUUAGGGUUGUAAAGCUCUUGUACCCGUGAAGAUAAUGACGGUACCUAAUGAAUAAGCUCCGGCUAACUCCGUG
Molecule: ribosomal RNA, 433 nt
Filed under: uncultured bacterium
Lineage: Bacteria
Description: partial 16S ribosomal RNA
Rfam family: Bacterial small subunit ribosomal RNA
Source: RNAcentral